AAAGGGCUGCAGUAUUUUGACUGUACAAAGGUAGCAUAAUCAAUAGUCUCUUAAUUGGUGACUUGUAUGAAAGAUUGGAUGAAAUAUAUACUGUCUCUUAUUUAUAUUAAGAAUUUAAUUUUUUGAUCAAAAAGUCAAAAUGAAUUUAAAAGACGAGAAGACCCUAUAGAGUUUCAUAUAUAUUUUAAUUGAAAUUAUUUUUUAGUUUAAUAAUUAAAAUUAAAAUAUUUAUUUUGUUGGGGUGAUAAAAAAAUAAAAAUAACUUUUUUUAAUUUAAAAUCAUAAAUAAAUGAGUUAUUGAUCCAAAAAUUUUGAUUAUAAGAAAAAAUUACCUUAGGGAUAACAGCGUAAUUUUUUUUUUUAGUUCAAAUAAAAAAAAAAGUUUGCGACCUCGAUGUUGGAUUAAAAUAAAAUUUAUAUGCAAAAGUAUAAAA
This 434-nucleotide ribosomal RNA is filed under the name Pseudopagyda acutangulata. RNAcentral describes it as "partial 16S ribosomal RNA". The record is from RNAcentral. Lineage: Eukaryota; Metazoa; Arthropoda; Insecta; Lepidoptera; Crambidae.